AUGCAGCACGCCGCGUGAGGGAUGACGGCCUUCGGGUUGUAAACCUCUUUUAGCAGGGAAGAAGCGAGAGUGACGGUACCUGCAGAAAAAGCACCGGCUAACUACGUGCCAGCAGCCGCGGUAAUACGUAGGGUGCAAGCGUUAUCCGGAAUUAUUGGGCGUAAAGAGCUCGUAGGCGGUUUGUCGCGUCUGCCGUGAAAUCCUCAGGCUCAACCUGAGGCUUGCGGUGGGUACGGGCAGACUUGAGUGCGGUAGGGGAGAUUGGAAUUCCUGGUGUAGCGGUGGAAUGCGCAGAUAUCAGGAGGAACACCGAUGGCGAAGGCAGAUCUCUGGGCCGUAACUGACGCUGAGGAGCGAAAGGGUGGGGAGCAAACA
Molecule: ribosomal RNA, 375 nt
Filed under: Microbacterium sp. 4CBAL
Lineage: Bacteria; Bacillati; Actinomycetota; Actinomycetes; Micrococcales; Microbacteriaceae
Description: bacterial SSU rRNA
Rfam family: Bacterial small subunit ribosomal RNA
Source: RNAcentral